AUGCAUCAGAGACCUGGGCAGGGGCUGGAAUUCAUCGCCAGCAUCUACUACGGCAGUGGGGGUUACACCUUCUACGCGCCGUCGGUGCAAGCUCCCUUCCGGCUCCUGGCCCUGCUGCUCCUGCUGCCCCUCCCAGGGCUCCGGGCGGCCAUGACCCUGCUGGAGUGCGGGGGGGACCUCCAGCCCCCCGGGGGGUCCCUGCACCUCCUCUGCCGAGGGUCCGGGUUCAGUUUCGGGAGUUUCACCAUGUACUGGAUCCGCCAGAGACACGGGCAGACGCUGGAAUUCGUCGCAGCGAUCAAGAAAGAUGGAUCCAGCUACGCCUACGGAUCAUCAGUGCAGGGUCGUUUCAGGAUCUCCAGGGACAACGGGCAGAGCUCGGUGACGCUGACCAUGAACAACCUCAAGAACGAGGAUUCCGGUUCCUAUUUCUGCGGGAAAGCUGCCUAUGAUACUUGGGGUGCUGCUGCUGAUGAUCACAGCGGGGUUCACUUGUGA
Non-coding RNA from Melozone crissalis (California towhee), 498 nucleotides. NCBI's taxonomy places the organism in Eukaryota, Metazoa, Chordata, Aves, Passeriformes, Passerellidae. The record is from the annotation of a RefSeq genome assembly.